This 504-nucleotide ribosomal RNA is filed under the name uncultured bacterium. Its description in RNAcentral is "partial 16S ribosomal RNA". It matches the Rfam family "Bacterial small subunit ribosomal RNA", at positions 30 to 523 of the family's 1533-position model. The record is from RNAcentral.
AUUGAACGCUGGCGGCAUGCCUUACACAUGCAAGUCGAACGGCAGCAUGGAGAGCUUGCUCUCUGAUGGCGAGUGGCGAACGGGUGAGUAAUGCAUCGGAACGUACCGUGUAAUGGGGGAUAACGUAGCGAAAGUUACGCUAAUACCGCAUACGACCUGAGGGUGAGAGCAGGGGAUCGCAAGACCUUGCGUUAUACGAGCGGCCGAUGUCAGAUUAGCUAGUUGGUGAGGUAAAGGCUCGCCAAGGCGACGAUCUGUAGCGGGUCUGAGAGGAUGAUCCGCCACACUGGGACUGAGACACGGCCCAGACUCCUACGGGAGUCAGCAGUGGGGAAUUUUGGACAAUGGGGGCAACCCUGAUCCAGCCAUGCCGCGUGAGUGAAGAAGGCCUUCGGGUUGUAAAGCUCUUUCGGCCGGGAAGAAAUCGCACAGGCUAAUACUCUGUGUGGAUGACGGUACCGGCAUAAGAAGCACCGGCUAACUACGUGCCAGCAGCCGCCGUAA